UUAACAGCCUAUCGUGUUAUCAAUGUGCAGGCAAGCGACGGGGAAGACAAAGGAAUAGAAGAGAAGAAAAGAGAAGGCGACAGAAAACAACUCGGGUCUGAAUUAGCUAUGAGAGGACGCGAAUGAAUGAUAGGUUUACUUACAUCUUAACCUAAACAGCUUAUCGUGUUAUCAAUGUGCAGGCAAGCGACAGGGAAAACAAAGGAAUAGAAGAAAAGAAAAGAGAAGGAGACAGAAAACAACUCGGGUCUGAAUUAGCUAUGAAAGGACACGAAUGAAUGAUAGGUUUACUAACUUUACUUACAUCUUAACCUAAACAGCUUAUCGUGUUAUCAAUGUGCAGGCAAGCGACAGGGAAAACAAAGGAAUAGAAGAGAAGAAAAGAGAAGGCGACAGAAAACAACUCGGGUCUGAAUUAGCAAUGAAAGGACACGAAUGAAUGAUAUGUUUACUUACAUCUUAACCUAAACAGCUUAUCGUGUUAUCCAUGUGAAGGCGAGUGACGGGGAAAACAAAGGAAUAGAAGAAAAGAGAAGGCGACAGAAAACAACUCGGGUCUGAAUUAGCUAUGAAAGGACACGAGUGAAUGAUAGGUUUGUUUGCAUCUUGACUUAAACAGCCUGUCUUCUUAUCCAUGUGCUGGCAAAUGACGGGGACAAGAGAGGAACAAAAGAGAGCGAAAGGAAGCAAAAGAGAAGGCGACAGAAAACAACUCGGGUCUGAAUUAGCUAUGAAAGGACACGAAUGAAUGAUAGGUUUACUUACAUCUUAACUUUAACAGGCUAUCGUGUUAUCUAUGUGCAGGCAAGCGACAGGGAAGACAAAAGAAUAGAAGAGAGCUAAAAAAAAGGCGACAGAAAACAACUCGGGUCUGAAUUAGCUAUGAAAGGACGCGAAUGUAAGGCUUGUUUACAUCUUAACUUUAACAGGCUAUCGUGUUAUCUAUGUGCAGGCAAGCGACAGGGAAGACAAAAGAAUAGAAGAGAGCUAAAAAGAAGGCGACAGAAAACAACUCGAGUUUGAAUUAGCUAUGAAAGGACACGAAUGAAUGAUAGGUUUGUUUACAGCUUAACCUAAACAGCUCAUCGUGUUAUCCAUGUGAAGGCGAGUGACAGGGAAGAGAGAGGAACAAAAAAGAGCGAAAGGAAGCAAAAGAGAAGGCGACAGAAAACAACUCGAGUCUGAACUAGCUAUGAAAGGGCGCGAAUUAAUGAAAGGUUUGUUUACAUCUUAACUUAAACAGCCUGUCGUGUUAUCUGUGUGCAGACAAGCGACAGAGAAGACAAAGGAAUAGAAGAGAAGAAAAGAGAAGGCGACAGAAAACAACUCGGGUCUGAAUUAGCUAUGAAAGGACACGAAUGAAUGAUAGGUUUGUUUACAGCUUAACCUAAACAGUCUGUCGUGUUAUCCAUGUGAAGGCGAGUGACAGGGAA
This is a long non-coding RNA of Eriocheir sinensis (Chinese mitten crab), 1433 nucleotides long. RefSeq lists it as uncharacterized. The transcript has 2 exons. The record is from RefSeq and is a predicted model, not a curated record. Lineage: Eukaryota; Metazoa; Arthropoda; Malacostraca; Decapoda; Varunidae.